UACGUAGGUGGCAAGCGUUGUCCGGAUUUACUGGGCGUAAAGGAUGCGUAGGUGGAUAUUUAAGUGGGAUGUGAAAAUACCCGGGCUCAACUUGGGUGCUGCAUUCCAAACUGGAUAUCUAGAGUGCAGGAGAGGAAAGUGGAAUUCCUAGUGUAGCAGUGAAAAUUGCGUAGAUAUUAGGAGGAACACCAGUGGCGAAGGCGACUUUCUGGACUGUAACUGACACUGAGGCAUGAAAGCGUGGGAGCAAACAGG
This 255-nucleotide ribosomal RNA is filed under the name uncultured bacterium. RNAcentral's name for it is "partial 16S ribosomal RNA". It matches the Rfam family "Bacterial small subunit ribosomal RNA", at positions 524 to 776 of the family's 1533-position model. The record is from RNAcentral.